AAAGAGUGGAGUUUUGUACUGUUUAUAUUUAACGUUUAACCGUCCGUCUUCUUUGAAAAAAAAUUUUAGAUUAGUUUUUGUUGUUAUUUGAUGAUAAAACAUAAAUAGUAUUUUAUGUGUGAUUUUUUUUAUUUUUUCAUAAUUUUUGUAAAUAAGACGAACGGUUAAAUGUGAACACUGGAAACUUACAACUUUACUUAAA
This is a microRNA precursor of Oryza rufipogon (brownbeard rice), 202 nucleotides long. It matches the Rfam family "MIR812 microRNA precursor family". The record is from Rfam. Lineage: Eukaryota; Viridiplantae; Streptophyta; Magnoliopsida; Poales; Poaceae.